RNAcentral lists this ribosomal RNA (253 nucleotides) under uncultured bacterium. Its description in RNAcentral is "partial 16S ribosomal RNA". It matches the Rfam family "Bacterial small subunit ribosomal RNA", at positions 524 to 776 of the family's 1533-position model. The record is from RNAcentral.
UACGAAGGGGGCUAGCGUUGCUCGGAAUUACUGGGCGUAAAGAGCGCGCAGGCGGUCGGAUAAGUCGAAUGUGAAAGCCCCUGGCUCAACUGGGGAGGGUCAUUCGAUACUGUUCGACUCGAAGGCAGGAGAGGGAAGUGGAAUUCCCGGUGUAGUGGUGAAAUGCGUAGAUAUCGGGAGGAACACCAGUGGCGAAGGCGACUUCCUGGCCUGUUCUUGACGCUGAGGCGCGAAAGCUAGGGGAGCAAACGGG